UGUAACAUGUUCGUUUUGAAAAUAAUAAACCGUUAAAUUUGAAUAUUUAUGUGAAAGUAUAGGGAAUGAAAAGGAUUAGUUACCCUUGUAAGCUAUACCGCAAAUCAUGGUUAAUUUUAUAGAAUAUUAAACAUUAUUAACUUACCGGGGGAAAACAACCGCAAGGUUUAAACUUACAAAAAUUGGCGGGACUUAAUAUGUGGUGGAAUAUGUGGUUUAAUUCGGUAAUCCUCGCAAAACCUUACUAAUAUCAAUAAACUAUUUCUUUAAAAAGCAUAAAGAUUUUAUUUUAUUGGAGUAUUGCAUGGCUGUUGUCAGUUCGUAUUGUGAAAUGUAGCAUUUAGUUGUGUAACGAACGCAAAUCAAUUUAUAAAACUUAGCGGCGGCGAUUUUUAUAUAACGCUAAUUACACCCUAAAAAAUUUAAUGUGUGCACUUGUGCACCGCUUAUGUAAUUGGUUUAAAAAUUAAAGUUGGCUAACAUCUUUAAAAAAUAGAUAAUCACGGAGAUUGUAAUAUGUUUAUUUUAUUUACUUCUUUGAAAAAUGUAAGCGAAGUGUGCUGUGGAUGGUGCUAAAUAGGGUAGGUUUCUUGGACAAGUAUAUUUAGUUUUGUGCUAUUAAAAACCGCGCAAAGACGUGCAACCUAGAUUCUGGAUACUUAAUAGCAAGUGACGUUAAAAUAGAACGCUUCGCAUAAAACUAUAUUGCAGUCACUAUCAAGAGCUUAUCCUUGAAUACCGGAAAGGUACGAAACUUGGGUUAUUCUAUUUUUUAAAAUACUUUUGAUCGAAAGCAAGUCAGUAUGAUCUCUUUAUAUUAGGCUACACACGUAUUACAUUAAAAAAAAACAAAAAUAAAAAAUAUAGUGAUAUAUUUUAAAUAAAAAUUUUUAUGUUUGGAUAAAAGUUUGCAACUCAACUUUUUGAAAUAGAAAUUACCAGUAAUCGUACAAUAGGAAGGUACGGUGAAGUGAACUUAUAGUUUGCACACACUGCCCAUCACGCUCAGAGAGUUAUUUUAGCUUAAAGUGUGGGUGUUUGGUAGAGAAUUUUUACUGAACCCUCUUCACAUAAAACUAACGUAGCAAUUCGAGUGAAG
RNAcentral lists this ribosomal RNA (1099 nucleotides) under Trochilioides recta. RNAcentral's name for it is "partial small subunit ribosomal RNA". It matches the Rfam family "Bacterial small subunit ribosomal RNA", at positions 627 to 1485 of the family's 1533-position model. Lineage: Eukaryota; Ciliophora; Phyllopharyngea; Dysteriida; Hartmannulidae. The record is from RNAcentral.